UGUGUUUAUAAUUUGAUUAUAAGAUUGAUCCUGUCUUAAUAUUUUGGCUAUUGAUUUUUAUUAUAUAUAAGUUUUUGCGAGUGUUUCUUUUGUCUUAAUGGUUGAGGAGUUUUUUAUAUUUGUAGUUUUUUAUUUUAAAUAUUGCAUAAUUGCAGAUUUAGUUAUUUCAGUCUAGGGUUGUUUAAAUCUGUGCCAGCAUACGCGGUUAUACAGUUAACUCAAGUUAAUAUUUUUGGUUUGCAUUUGUUUUUGUUUUUGGGAAUUUAUGGUUUUAUUAUAAGGUGGAAUUUUUAAUUUUCUUUUAUUUUCUUGGUUCUAUAUUAUGCGAAAUUUAGAUUUUAAACUAGGAUUAGAUACCCUAUUAUU
This 366-nucleotide ribosomal RNA is filed under the name Prismatocerus auriculatus. Its description in RNAcentral is "partial small subunit ribosomal RNA". Lineage: Eukaryota; Metazoa; Arthropoda; Insecta; Hemiptera; Coreidae. The record is from RNAcentral.